Long non-coding RNA from Oncorhynchus keta (chum salmon), 501 nucleotides. RefSeq lists it as uncharacterized. Lineage: Eukaryota; Metazoa; Chordata; Actinopteri; Salmoniformes; Salmonidae. The transcript is spliced from 3 exons. The record is from RefSeq and is a predicted model, not a curated record.
GAGAGAGAGAGGUAGAGAUAGCAGGAGAGAGAGAGGUAGAGAUAGCAGGAGAGAGAGAGGUAGAGAUAGCAGGAGAGAGAGAGGUAGAGAUAGCAGGAGAGAGAGAGGUAGAGAUAGCAGGAGAGAGAGAGGUAGAGAUAGCAGGAGAGAGAGAGAGGGAGGGAUAUUGUGAGAGAGAUGUAGAUAGCGUGUUCAUUUCUGAUUGUUUAUUUCACUUUUGUUUAUGAUCUAUUGUACGUGCUUUCAGCAAUGUUAACAUGUCAAUAAAGCUUUGAAUUGAAAUUGACAGAGUAGAGAUACACAACUAAGACAAAACAACCAGAGAACACGGGUCACAACUCCUGCAGCUUUGUCGCACGCUGGUUCUGUUCAGAGUCAAGGGAGGCUUCAAGGAGACUCUACGGCAGGAACAUCUACAGCUCAUCUCUUGUCAGUAGUACUGUAGACUACUGUAUCUCUGACCUCAACCCAGAGUCUCUCAGAGCCUUCAGUCAGCCCACU